Molecule: long non-coding RNA, 1555 nt
Filed under: Pelobates cultripes (western spadefoot toad)
Lineage: Eukaryota; Metazoa; Chordata; Amphibia; Anura; Pelobatidae
Source: RNAcentral
CUUAAUGGAACAACUAAUUAAAUAUAAGAAAGGCAAACUCCAGGAGGCCGGGGGACAAAGCUGAAAUCUACAGUGUCAGCAUUAUAAAAUAAUUUGGAAUGCAGGGGCAUAAAUGAAAGUAUAAAACAUGGAUGAAAGCAAUCACUGCGGUCAGAAGCGUGUUUGAAAGAUUAUAAAGAAAAUAGCAAAAAGGGUGAAGUCUAAGAUUAAGAAUUAACACAUUAACACUGCAGUCCUAUAUCAGAUGAUUAGUGAUUACUAAUCACAUAUUACUGACUUGUAAAAACUUAAGGGGGCAUGCUACGCACCAUAACCACUACAACACAGUUUGGACACCGCAGUCCUUUAGUUAGAGGAUCCAAGUUUUACAUUUGUAUGUCUAGACUUGCUCGAAGGGUUUGCCUAGUGAUACCCUAACUUGGAGCCACAUUCUCCUCAUCCUAUAGCAGUGUACUAAACAUCUGGGUGCAUAUUGUUGGUGUGUCUGAGUGUAUAACAGAACUCCACAGUGAUAAUACUCCCAGUAAUGUGUCUGAGUGUAUAACAGAGCUCCACAGCAAUAAUACUCCCUGUAAUUUUAUUUGGUGUAUAACAGAACUCCACAGCAAUAAUACUCCCAGUAAUGUCUUUAAACUACAAUAAAUGUGUUUAGAAAUCAGUCUGUGUAAAUAAGAUACAUUGUUCUUCUUCUAAAUUACAUUUUAGUUACAUAAAUUAUUAGUAAGUCCCUGAACAUUUCUCAGAACAGCCUCAUCCCUCACCACAUCCCCAUCCAUACUCCUAAAAAGAGUCCCUUUUCGUCCAUUUGAAAUGUUGGAUAGUAUGUUACUGAGUAGGAGGGUGCAGAAUGUACGGGAGAACAGGAGGAUCAUUGUUACACUUGGUUGUUACUAUACAAUUAUAAAUGAGAUAAUUGGUGUUAAAAUAAACAAGUCCGGAAUAUGAAGUUUGAGACUAUUAUUUUAGAGGAAGCAGGAGAAAUAAAGUUCUUACCUUUUUCUUAUUUCUGCUCUUAACCAGAGAGAUUGGAAUUAACAGCUUGGUGAUGGCCACAAAUGCACUAAUCAAAUGACACAAUCACCCAAUAGAAUGCUUCUCAUAAAAGAUAAUUAGAUUAUUCACUAAACACAGAGCUUUGUCAGGAUGGACAAACUCCAGUGAAAAUUUACAAAUUUCAAACAGAAUGGCAAUUCUCAGGUUUCCAAUUAGAAAUUCAAGUUAGAAUUUGGUUGAUUUGACCAAAUAUGUAACUGGCCGGUCGCAUUUGAUAUCCGGAUGAAAAUCAGUAUACAAAUUAUAGGAUUUGGAAUAUUCAUAAAGUAACGAUUUUACAGAAAUUUAGUACCGAAUGCAUUUUGCAAGAGAACAAUCAUUUUAAGUACUAUUUGCCUGCUGGCUGCACUAUAUACUAAACAUUAAAAACUAGCAACUGGGCAAUCAUGGUGCUGCAAACAAAGCAUGUCUAUUCUAUGAAUGUGCCUCAUUUCAUUCACUCCUCUUCAUUACAUUUCAAAUUAAUUUCAGAUCUGCAAUACUAACUAAAGAUGCUGGUAGU